GAUCCUGGCUCAGGAUGAACGCUAGCGGCAGGCUUAACACAUGCAAGUCGAGGGGUAGAAGAAGCUUGCUUUUUUGAGACCGGCGCACGGGUGCGUAACGCGUAUGCAAUCUACCUUUCACAAAGGGAUAGCCCAGAGAAAUUUGGAUUAAUACCUUAUAGUAUAAUUGAAUGGCAUCAUUUAAUUAUUAAAGAUUUAUCGGUGAAAGAUGAGCAUGCGUCCCAUUAGCUAGUUGGUAUGGUAACGGCAUACCAAGGCUACGAUGGGUAGGGGUCCUGAGAGGGAGAUCCCCCACACUGGUACUGAGACACGGACCAGACUCCUACGGGAGGCAGCAGUGAGGAAUAUUGGACAAUGGGCGCAAGCCUGAUCCAGCCAUGCCGCGUGCAGGAUGACGGUCCUAUGGAUUGUAAACUGCUUUUAUACAGGAAGAAACACCUCUACGUGUAGAGACUUGACGGUACUGUAAGAAUAAGGAUCGGCUAACUCCGUGCCAGCAGCCGCGGUAAUACGGAGGAUCCAAGCGUUAUCCGGAAUCAUUGGGUUUAAAGGGUCCGUAGGCGGUCAGAUAAGUCAGUGGUGAAAGCCCAUCGCUCAACGGUGGAACGGCCAUUGAUACUGUCUGACUUGAAUUAUUAGGAAGUAACUAGAAUAUGUAGUGUAGCGGUGAAAUGCUUAGAGAUUACAUGGAAUACCAAUUGCGAAGGCAGGUUACUACUAAUAUAUUGACGCUGAUGGACGAAAGCGUGGGUAGCGAACAGGAUUAGAUACCCUGGUAGUCCACGCCGUAAACGAUGGAUACUAGCUGUUGGGAGCAAUCUCAGUGGCUAAGCGAAAGUGAUAAGUAUCCCACCUGGGGAGUACGAACGCAAGUUUGAAACUCAAAGGAAUUGACGGGGGCCCGCACAAGCGGUGGAGCAUGUGGUUUAAUUCGAUGAUACGCGAGGAACCUUACCAAGGCUUAAAUGUAGAUUGACCGGUUUGGAAACAGAUCUUUCGCAAGACAAUUUACAAGGUGCUGCAUGGUUGUCGUCAGCUCGUGCCGUGAGGUGUCAGGUUAAGUCCUAUAACGAGCGCAACCCCUGUUGUUAGUUGCCAGCGAGUCAUGUCGGGAACUCUAACGAGACUGCCAGUGCAAACUGUGAGGAAGGUGGGGAUGACGUCAAAUCAUCACGGCCCUUACGCCUUGGGCUACACACGUGCUACAAUGGCCGGUACAGAGAGCAGCCACUGGGUGACCAGGAGCGAAUCUACAAAACCGGUCACAGUUC
Molecule: ribosomal RNA, 1271 nt
Filed under: Flavobacterium sp. KJF7-7
Lineage: Bacteria; Pseudomonadati; Bacteroidota; Flavobacteriia; Flavobacteriales; Flavobacteriaceae
Description: bacterial SSU rRNA
Rfam family: Bacterial small subunit ribosomal RNA
Source: RNAcentral